UACGUAGGGUCCGAGCGUUGUCCGGAAUUACUGGGCGUAAUGAGCUCGUAGGUGGUUUGUCGCGUUGUUCGUGAAAACUCACAGCUCAACUGUGGGCGUGCGGGCGAUACGGGCAGACUUGGGUACUGCAGGGGAGACUGGAAUUCCUGGUGUAGCGGUGGAAUGCGCAGAUAUCAGGAGGAACACCGGUGGCGAAGGCGGGUCUCUGGGCAGUAACUGACGCUGAGGAGCGAAAGCGUGGGGAGCGAACAGG
This 253-nucleotide ribosomal RNA is filed under the name uncultured bacterium. RNAcentral's name for it is "partial 16S ribosomal RNA". It matches the Rfam family "Bacterial small subunit ribosomal RNA", at positions 524 to 776 of the family's 1533-position model. The record is from RNAcentral.